This 59-nucleotide transfer RNA is filed under the name Distoechurus pennatus (New Guinean feather-tailed possum). Its description in RNAcentral is "tRNA-Ser". Lineage: Eukaryota; Metazoa; Chordata; Mammalia; Diprotodontia; Acrobatidae. The record is from RNAcentral.
GAGAAAGUCCCAAGAACUGCUAACUCUUGACCCCAUACAUAAUAAGUAUGGCUUUCUCA